CUGUAUAAAAUACAUAUGCCACAUUGCGUGAAAUAUAUUAAUAAUAUUAUACGUUCGCACGUAUAUAAUUAUUUAGUAUGUUAACGCAUAUGACGGUUCCGUGAUAUGAUGGUUUGCACGCUUGUCGUGUAUAUAUUAUGUUGCGGUCCGUUUAAAUAUUGUCUAACGACACACGUUGAUUAUAAUUUAUAUAUCAUACGACAAUGUUAGAGAUUAUCAAUAAUAUUUGUCGAACGAUCGACGGUGUUACCGCUGAUGCGCUUUACGGCGUAAGGCGGGACGCUUUCGACUCUUCGAGUUAAAAGAGUGUUAUGUAACAGUAUCACACAUACGACGAGAGGGUUGAUGGCGUGUGCAUGUUUUUUUUUUUAAUUAAAAUUAAACGAGUUCAACACCGUUCACAUGUCGCGAGACGCAUAAAUAUUAUCUAUCUCUAUAUAACACUUGACGUAUACACAAUGAUAUAUAAGCCUUAAAUCAUCGACAGUAGGCGGACUCGACGUCCGAAGAGCGCAUCGACGCCGUCGUCGUUAUCGAUCGUUAUUAUUUUAAAAAAUGUAACGCGUCGUAGCGGUUGCGUCGUCGUAACGCUGACGGAUAUCGCGUCUGCCUCAUUUUUUUAUCGUUGGCCUCAGAUCAGGGAGGAUCACCCGCCGAAUUUAAGCAUAUUAGUAAGCGGAGGAAAAGAAACUAACUAGGAUUUCCUUAGUAGCGGCGAGCGAACAGGAAAGAAGCCCAGCACUGAAUCCCGCCGUUGUUCAGGCGGCGGGAGAUGUGGUGUUCGGGAGGUUCCGCUUUCUCGUCGCGAUCGCUCCUGUCCAAGUUCGUCUUGAACGGGGCCGUUUUCCCGUAGAGGGUGCCAGGCCCGUAGCGACGGAGGAUCGCGGCGAGAGGGACUCUCCUUAGAGUCGGGUUGCUUGAGAGUGCAGCCCUAAGUGGGUGGUAA
RNAcentral lists this small RNA (946 nucleotides) under Catocala bella. RNAcentral's name for it is "eukaryotic LSU rRNA". The stretch from base 627 to 946 matches the Rfam family "Eukaryotic large subunit ribosomal RNA", at positions 1 to 302 of the family's 3401-position model. Lineage: Eukaryota; Metazoa; Arthropoda; Insecta; Lepidoptera; Erebidae. The record is from RNAcentral.